GAGAGCUUGCUCUCUGGAUCAGUGGCGAACGGGUGAGUAACACGUGAGCAAUCUGCCCUUGACUCUGGGAUAAGCGUUGGAAACGACGUCUAAUACCGGAUACGAGCUGUGAAGGCAUCUUCAACAGCUGGAAAGAACUUCGGUCAAGGAUGAGCUCGCGGCCUAUCAGCUAGUUGGUGAGGUAAUGGCUCACCAAGGCGUCGACGGGUAGCCGGCCUGAGAGGGUGACCGGCCACACUGGGACUGAGACACGGCCCAGACUCCUACGGGAGGCAGCAGUGGGGAAUAUUGCACAAUGGGCGCAAGCCUGAUGCAGCAACGCCGCGUGAGGGACGACGGCCUUCGGGUUGUAAACCUCUUUUAGCAGGGAAGAAGCGAAAGUGACGGUACCUGCAGAAAAAGCACCGGCUAACUACGUGCCAGCAGCCGCGGUAAUACGUAGGGUGCAAGCGUUAUCCGGAAUUAUUGGGCGUAAAGAGCUCGUAGGCGGUUUGUCGCGUCUGCUGUGAAACCCCGAGGCUCAACCUCGGGCCUGCAGUGGGUACGGGCAGACUAGAGUGCGGUAGGGGAGAUUGGAAUUCCUGGUGUAGCGGUGGAAUGCGCAGAUAUCAGGAGGAACACCGAUGGCGAAGGCAGAUCUCUGGGCCGUAACUGACGCUGAGGAGCGAAAGGGUGGGGAGCAAACAGGCUUAGAUACCCUGGUAGUCCACCCCGUAAACGUUGGGAACUAGUUGUGGGGUCCAUUCCACGGAUUCCGUGACGCAGCUAACGCAUUAAGUUCCCCGCCUGGGGAGUACGGCCGCAAGGCUAAAACUCAAAGGAAUUGACGGGGACCCGCACAAGCGGCGGAGCAUGCGGAUUAAUUCGAUGCAACGCGAAGAACCUUACCAAGGCUUGACAUAUACGAGAACGCUGCAGAAAUGUAGAACUCUUUGGACACUCGUAAACAGGUGGUGCAUGGUUGUCGUCAGCUCGUGUCGUGAGAUGUUGGGUUAAGUCCCGCAACGAGCGCAACCCUCGUUCUAUGUUGCCAGCACGUAAUGGUGGGGAACUCAUGGGGAUAC
RNAcentral lists this ribosomal RNA (1064 nucleotides) under Microbacterium sp. H90. RNAcentral describes it as "bacterial SSU rRNA". It matches the Rfam family "Bacterial small subunit ribosomal RNA", at positions 74 to 1150 of the family's 1533-position model. The record is from RNAcentral. Lineage: Bacteria; Bacillati; Actinomycetota; Actinomycetes; Micrococcales; Microbacteriaceae.